RNAcentral lists this transfer RNA (73 nucleotides) under Glaciihabitans tibetensis. It matches the Rfam family "tRNA". Rfam says of the family: Transfer RNA (tRNA) molecules are approximately 80 nucleotides in length. Their secondary structure includes four short double-helical elements and three loops (D, anti-codon, and T loops). Further hydrogen bonds mediate the characteristic L-shaped molecular structure. tRNAs have two regions of fundamental functional importance: the anti-codon, which is responsible for specific mRNA codon recognition, and the 3' end, to which the tRNAs corresponding amino acid is attached (by aminoacyl-tRNA synthetases). tRNAs cope with the degeneracy of the genetic code in two manners: having more than one tRNA (with a specific anti-codon) for a particular amino acid; and 'wobble' base-pairing, i.e. permitting non-standard base-pairing at the 3rd anti-codon position. The record is from Rfam by way of RNAcentral. Lineage: Bacteria; Bacillati; Actinomycetota; Actinomycetes; Micrococcales; Microbacteriaceae.
GGGCGAUUGGCGCAGCUGGUAGCGCGCUUCGUUCACACCGAAGAGGUCAUGGGUUCAAGUCCCGUAUCGCCCA